GUAAUCGUUGUUUAAAUUAUCCUAUCGCUGGUUAUUUUUCAAGGAAGUUGCGUAUACCCGAUCUAUUUAUAACGUACACAGAGCUUAACGAAGUAUAAUAAUUGGUUCACGAUGAUUCAGUAAACACACGAGACAAAGCGGUUCUUCCGUUUACAAUUUACUCGAAACAUUUUGCCAAGAAAGCAAUUAUUUUUCCUCCUUAGUCAUCGACCGAGGUCAACGCGAAUUGGUCGCCCGAACGCGCAUCAGUCAUAAGUCAGCAUGCAUAAGUCACGGCACACUUACAAUUAGUACACUCAGGAUAGACGUACGUACAUGUACAUACAGCACCGGUUAUAACUUGUCGUUAGUAACAGGUGGUUUCGGCCGGUGCCACCUGUAAUUACCGGUUGCGAGCAACCGAUAACGAUUAAGGCCGGCCAGGCCGGGUCAGCUGCGACCCUCUGCGACUUACCUGCAUGCGAACGGUGACAAGAUACAACGGCGCGGCGUGCACGCACGAUCGCUCGCGACGAUACGUCGUUAAUCGAGAUGUCGGCCUACGCGAUACGACUUCUCGUUUGUAAAGCGCGGACGAACGACACGGCCGGGUGCACCUUGUGCCUUGUCGAUCGUCUGCCAGUGCGCCGUGAACUUUUUUUUCCAGUCGUCGAUCGCGCUGCAUGGAGGACACGCGUUGGUAUGUAACUACGUGAUCGAUGUCAACCAGUUACCUUUACGUAAGCAUCCAAGCUCGAGUCUUUCACGGCGCCACGCAAUUACGGCAAAUUGCUGUUUGCCUGCAAGUAUCAGCGGAGAACGCGUCUCUCGCUCGGAACUUUGGCGCGUAGCCGGUUUUUCCGCAGCUUUCCGUGACUCCAGUUCGCGUUGGUAUCGGCUCCGUGUC
This is a long non-coding RNA of Bombus impatiens (common eastern bumble bee), 886 nucleotides long. RefSeq lists it as uncharacterized. The record is from RefSeq and is a predicted model, not a curated record. The transcript is spliced from 3 exons. Lineage: Eukaryota; Metazoa; Arthropoda; Insecta; Hymenoptera; Apidae.